CCUACGGGUGGCAGCAGUGGGGAAUAUUGGUCAAUGGGCGCAAGCCUGACCCAGCAACGCCGCGUGAAGGAAGAAGGCUUUCGGGUUGUAAACUUCUUUUCUCAGGGACGAAGCAUGUGACGGUACCUGAGGAUUAAGCCACCGCUAACUACGUGCCAGCCGCCGCGGUGAUACGUCGGUGGCAAGCGUUAUCCGGAUUUACGGGGUGUAAAGGGCGUGUAGGCGGGGACGAAAGUCAGAUGUGAAAUCCACGGGCUCAACCUGUGAACUGCAUUUGAAACCGUGUUUCUUGAGUACUGGGGAGGCAGACGGAAUGCCUAGUGUAGCGGUGAAAUGCGUAGAUAUUAGGAGGAACACCGGUGGCGAAGGCAGUCUGC
This 377-nucleotide ribosomal RNA is filed under the name uncultured bacterium. Its description in RNAcentral is "partial 16S ribosomal RNA". It matches the Rfam family "Bacterial small subunit ribosomal RNA", at positions 338 to 729 of the family's 1533-position model. The record is from RNAcentral.